GCAGGUAUAGCUCAGUGGCAGAGCACAUGCUUAGGACGCAUGAGGUCCUGGGUUCUAUCCCAGUACCUCCA
This 71-nucleotide transfer RNA is filed under the name Camelus bactrianus (Bactrian camel). It matches the Rfam family "tRNA". From Rfam's summary of the family: Transfer RNA (tRNA) molecules are approximately 80 nucleotides in length. Their secondary structure includes four short double-helical elements and three loops (D, anti-codon, and T loops). Further hydrogen bonds mediate the characteristic L-shaped molecular structure. tRNAs have two regions of fundamental functional importance: the anti-codon, which is responsible for specific mRNA codon recognition, and the 3' end, to which the tRNAs corresponding amino acid is attached (by aminoacyl-tRNA synthetases). tRNAs cope with the degeneracy of the genetic code in two manners: having more than one tRNA (with a specific anti-codon) for a particular amino acid; and 'wobble' base-pairing, i.e. permitting non-standard base-pairing at the 3rd anti-codon position. The record is from Rfam by way of RNAcentral. RNAcentral also lists the same sequence under 2 other names. Lineage: Eukaryota; Metazoa; Chordata; Mammalia; Artiodactyla; Camelidae.